RNAcentral lists this long non-coding RNA (279 nucleotides) under Lathyrus oleraceus (garden pea). RNAcentral's name for it is "Pisum sativum (pea) long non-coding RNA (PSAT_LNC025425)". The record is from RNAcentral. Lineage: Eukaryota; Viridiplantae; Streptophyta; Magnoliopsida; Fabales; Fabaceae.
UAACAAAUAAUGCAAAUGUAUGAGUGUAAGUGCAAGAGAACUGUCUCAUUGUAAGAAGGCCCAAGAGUAAGCCAUGUGAGGUUGAUGGCGAUGCUUAAAAAGCAAUCGACUUACAAGGGUGUGAAAAUGGGCUCGAUAUUAAAUCGAGAAAAAACAUGAUUUUUAUAGUUUUAAAAUGGUUUUUGAAUUAAAUUAGAUGACAACAACUUAACAAAAUGAACAUAUGAGUGUAAUAAAGGCAUAAACAUAAGAAUAAAUGAAAAUGCUAAAGAAAAAUAA